UGGGGAAUAUUGGGCAAUGGGGGAAACCCUGACCCAGCAACGCCGCGUGAGGGAAGAAGGUUUUCGGAUUGUAAACCUCUGUCGCCAGGGACGAAAGAAAUGACGGUACCUGGUAAGAAAGCCCCGACAAACUACGUGCCAGCAGCCGCGGUAAUCCGUAGGGGGCGAGCGUUGUCAGGAAUUACUGGGCGUAAAGGGUGCGUAGGCGGGUUUACAAGUCGGAUGUGGAAUACCCGGGCUUAACCCGGGGGUGUCAUUCGAAACUGUAAGACUUGAGUGCAGAAGAGGAAAGUGGAAUUCCCAGUGUAGCGGUGAAAGGCGUAGAUAUUGGGAGGAACACCAGUGGCGAAGGCGACUUUCUGGGCUGUAACUGACGCUGAGGCACGAAAGCGUGGGGAGCAAACA
Molecule: ribosomal RNA, 405 nt
Filed under: uncultured prokaryote
Description: bacterial SSU rRNA
Rfam family: Bacterial small subunit ribosomal RNA
Source: RNAcentral